Molecule: ribosomal RNA, 255 nt
Filed under: uncultured bacterium
Lineage: Bacteria
Description: partial 16S ribosomal RNA
Rfam family: Bacterial small subunit ribosomal RNA
Source: RNAcentral
CUGAUUAGCUAGUUGGUGAGGUAAUAGCUUACCAAGGCGAUGAUUAGUAGCUGGUCCGAGAGGAUGAUCAGCCACACUGGGACUGAGACACGGCCCAGACUCCUACGGGAGGCAGCAGUGGGGAAUUUUCCGCAAUGGGCGAAAGCCUGACGGAGCAAUGCCGCGUGGAGGUGGAAGGCCUACGGGUCGUCAACUUCUUUUCUCGGAGAAGAAACAAUGACGGUAUCUGAGGAAUAAGCAUCGGCUAACUCUGUG